CCUCAACCUUGUUAAAUUUUCUUCUUUCUUUCUCCCCUUCAACCCGUGUUUUGUCUCUUCAAUCUGUGUUCCCCCUUCCUUGAAUCUGUCUACAAACCAUCUUCAAUAACCUAUCCUCAACCCUUCCUUUUUUCUCCCUCAACUCCUUUAUACACGCUACGGAAUUUUUUUUAGUCGAACCUAUGUUUGUGAGAGCUUUGCCAUUUGUUUUCUUGUCGAAAUUUUUUUCCCUUGGAUCUAAAACCCCCUUAUGUUCUCUUCACGAUCCAUCUCUAAAUUGGUUCCACAUUCUCUCUCAGUCUUCGAAACUGUGAUUCGUUUUGUUGAAGGCUUCGCUCCAAUGGCAUUGCCUCCGAGACUUUUUGGUUUUCCCUUUUUGGUUUUGUUGAACGUUUGGGACGAUUCCUUCCCUCCGAAAACUUGCAUGAUCGAUGAGUCUUCUCGAUGAACAUGAAAGUCCUUCGUUGUUGACUCUUGGAAUUCCCCUUGCUGUUUGACUUCUCUUUUGUCGAGGUCUUUUCCUUGUUGAUCGAUGUUUUCCUUCACUGAGUUAUGACAAGUGCUACACAUUCCUUGUUGUGGCAAUAGGUGAUUUUCAAGCAUGGUAGAGAGGAUGUUGGCCUUCAUAAUAUCCUUCUAAGAGGUGUAGUAACAUUUCAACCUCAUCUUAUUGGUUGUGAUACGACUGCACGACAAGUUGGUGAAGAAACCACAACCAGUAACUAACACAUGCAUUGGUCCACGAUGGAAGUGCUUCGAGGAUUUAAAUAAAGGUGAGCAUGCUGCGAUCGAUCACCCUAGGUACAUAAUAGGUAAGGGUGAAGUUGCCACUAAAGUCCUCCAAGUGUGCAACACGAAAGGCGAUUUCAUAUUCAUCUUGGCAGAUUGGGAAGGAUCCACAGCUGAUUCACGCAUUCUUUGAGUUAAGUGUAAUGUUUUCAGGUUAUUAUGACUUGCUAUUAUACCCAAAGGUACCAUUUUGACAAAGAUCUCAAUGUAUGAUAACACAUUGCAAUGUCAUAGUCGUAAUCUACUGAUUUAAUAAUAAGUAAAAUGACAUGAGAGAGAGAACCAUAUUUUCGUUUA
Molecule: long non-coding RNA, 1086 nt
Organism: Cucumis melo (muskmelon)
Lineage: Eukaryota; Viridiplantae; Streptophyta; Magnoliopsida; Cucurbitales; Cucurbitaceae
Exons: 4
Source: RefSeq, a predicted model, not a curated record